AGUGAACGCUGGCGGUAGGCCUAACACAUGCAAGUCGAACGGACGCACAGUAAGAGUUUGCCCUUACGGGUGGCGAGUGGCGGAUGGGUGAGGCAUACAUAGGCAUCUACUUUUUCGUGGGGGAUAACGGAGGGAAACUUACGCUAAUACCGCAUAUGAUCAACGGGUGAAAGCAGGGGAUAAUCGGACCUUGCGCGAUUGAAUUAGCCGAUGUCGGAUUAGCUAGUUGGCAGGGUAAAGGCCCACCAAGGCGACGAUCCGUAGCUGGUCUGAGAGGAUGAUCAGCCACACUGGAACUGAGACACGGUCCAGACUCCUACGGGAGGCAGCAGUGGGGAAUAUUGGGCAAUGGGCGCAAGCCUGAUCCAGCCAUGCCGCGUGGGUGAAGAAGGCCUUCGGGUUGUAAAGCCCUUUUGUUAGGAAAGAAAAGCAGCAGGUGAAUACCCCGCUGUUCUGACGGUACCCAAAGAGUAAGCACCGGCUAACUUCGUG
This 492-nucleotide ribosomal RNA is filed under the name uncultured bacterium. RNAcentral's name for it is "partial 16S ribosomal RNA". It matches the Rfam family "Bacterial small subunit ribosomal RNA", at positions 29 to 507 of the family's 1533-position model. The record is from RNAcentral.